CGGCUCAGUAACACUUAGUCAACCUUCCCUCGGGUCGAGGAUAAUCUCGGGAAACUGAGGCUAAUACUCGAUAGUUCAAGAUUCCUGGAAUGGGUUUUGGUCGAAAUGAGGUAACUACAUCUCUGUUAUUUUCGCCCAAGGAUGGGACUGCGGCCGAUCAGGCUGUUGGUGGGGUAAAGGCCCACCAAACCAGUAACCGGUACGGGCUUUGAGAGAAGGAGCCCGGAGAUGGACACUGAGACAAGGGUCCAGGUCCUACGGGGCGCAGCAGGCGCGAAACCUUCGCAAUGCGCGAAAGCGCGACGAGGUUAUUCCGAGUGAUUUCCGCUGAGGAAAUCUUUUCUCAGAUCUAAAAUGUCUGGGGAAUAAGGGGAGGGCAAGUCUGGUGUCAGCCGCCGCGGUAAUACCAGCUCCUCGAGUGGUCAGGGCGUUUAUUGGGCCUAAAGCAUCCGUAGCCUGCUCGGUAGGUCUCCUGUUAAAUCCAACGGCUCAACCGUUGGUCUGCAGGAGAUACCGCUGGGCUAGGAGGCGGGAGAGGCGGACGGUGCUCCGAGGGUAGGGGUAAAAUCCUUUGAUCCCCGGAAGA
This 586-nucleotide ribosomal RNA is filed under the name uncultured archaeon. Its description in RNAcentral is "bacterial SSU rRNA". It matches the Rfam family "Archaeal small subunit ribosomal RNA", at positions 83 to 656 of the family's 1478-position model. The record is from RNAcentral.